GCGGGAUUAGUUUAAUGGUAGAACAUCAGUUUUCCAAACUGAUAGCGGGAGUUCGAUUCUCCCAUCCCGCA
RNAcentral lists this transfer RNA (71 nucleotides) under Candidatus Parcubacteria bacterium. RNAcentral describes it as "tRNA-Gly". It matches the Rfam family "tRNA". Rfam says of the family: Transfer RNA (tRNA) molecules are approximately 80 nucleotides in length. Their secondary structure includes four short double-helical elements and three loops (D, anti-codon, and T loops). The record is from RNAcentral. Lineage: Bacteria; Candidatus Parcubacteria.